Molecule: ribosomal RNA, 420 nt
Filed under: bacterium
Lineage: Bacteria
Description: partial 16S ribosomal RNA
Rfam family: Bacterial small subunit ribosomal RNA
Source: RNAcentral
UGGGGGAUAUUGCACAAUGGGCGAAAGCCUGAUGCAGCGACGCCGCGUGGGGGAUGAAGGCUUUCGGGUUGUAAACCUCUUUCGCUAUCGAACAAGGCCCGCUUAGGGUGGGUUGAGGGUAGGUGGAGAAGAAGCGCCGGCUAACUACGUGCCAGCAGCCGCGGUAAUACGUAGGGCGCGAGCGUUGUCCGGAAUUAUUGGGCGUAAAGGGCUUGUAGGCGGCUUGUUGCGCCUGCUGUGAAAACGCGGGGCUUAACUUCGCGCGUGCAGUGGGUACGGGCAGGCUUGAGUGUGGUAGGGGUGACUGGAAUUCCAGGUGUAGCGGUGGAAUGCGCAGAUAUCUGGAGGAACACCGAUGGCGCAGGCAGGUCACUGGGCCAUUACUGACGCUGAGGAGCGAAAGCAUGGGUAGCGAACAGG